RNAcentral lists this ribosomal RNA (433 nucleotides) under uncultured bacterium. Its description in RNAcentral is "partial 16S ribosomal RNA". It matches the Rfam family "Bacterial small subunit ribosomal RNA", at positions 29 to 507 of the family's 1533-position model. The record is from RNAcentral.
AGCGAACGCUGGCGGCAGGCCUAACACAUGCAAGUCGAACGAACUCUUCGGAGUUAGUGGCGGACGGGUGAGUAACACGUGGGAACGUGCCUUUUGGUUCGGAAUAACUCAGGGAAACUUGUGCUAAUACCGAAUGUGCCCUUCGGGGGAAAGAUUUAUCGCCAUUAGAGCGGCCCGCGUCUGAUUAGCUAGUUGGUGAGGUAACGGCUCACCAAGGCGACGAUCAGUAGCUGGUCUGAGAGGAUGACCAGCCACACUGGGACUGAGACACGGCCCAGACUCCUACGGGAGGCAGCAGUGGGGAAUCUUGCGCAAUGGGCGAAAGCCUGACGCAGCCAUGCCGCGUGAAUGAUGAAGGUCUUAGGAUUGUAAAAUUCUUUCACCGGGGACGAUAAUGACGGUACCCGGAGAAGAAGCCCCGGCUAACUACGUG